GUUCGAGGUUGCCAUCUUGGCACGGUAUUUUUGGACACGUAGUGCAGCUGAAAAUGAAAAGCAUUGGCUUUUCUAAGUUUAUGAAAUAAAAGGAAGCUGUCAAAAUUCCAAUUGCUAUUUUUUCCCUGUAUUUUACAGUUAUUAAAAUGAGUAGGUGUUGCUGCGUGAAAAUUGUGCCAGUAAAGAAGUGAAAAAAUCCAAGUGGGAUUUUUUUUCCAAAGUUAAUGUUCGCUCUAAAGCGAAUUCUUUAGCUGCUGUCAAAACACAGCAAAAACGAAAUAAGUGGCUUGCAGUUAUCGACCCUUCAAACAGACUUGAUUUAUCAUGUGAGAAUUUAGUUUGCUCGAAACAUUUUGUCUCAGGUACACCAUCAGACAAUUGUGAAGAUGUAGACUGGGUUCCUUCGUUGUUGAUCAAUAAUGCUGAUCCGGAAUCUGAUGGAAUCAUUGUAGAAUGUAACCUGAAUAAUUCCGAAAGCAACAUGAGUAAUAUGGGUAAGAAAAUCUAUUUCUGUUACACAGCCAACUACCAUCACAGUAGUAAUUAAAAUUUCCGUACUAUUUUGAGAUCAAAAUGUUCACUCUUCUGAUCCCUUGAAUGUCAAAGAAAGUAAUUUGGAAUGUAACAUUAGUGACGUUCAAGAAUGUAUUCUUUGCAACAUG
Daphnia magna is the source of this 662-nucleotide long non-coding RNA. RefSeq lists it as uncharacterized. NCBI's taxonomy places the organism in Eukaryota, Metazoa, Arthropoda, Branchiopoda, Diplostraca, Daphniidae. The transcript has 2 exons. The record is from RefSeq and is a predicted model, not a curated record.